Ictalurus furcatus (blue catfish) is the source of this 1531-nucleotide long non-coding RNA. RefSeq lists it as uncharacterized. The record is from RefSeq and is a predicted model, not a curated record. Lineage: Eukaryota; Metazoa; Chordata; Actinopteri; Siluriformes; Ictaluridae. The transcript has 3 exons.
UGUCUUUCCAAAAAAGUUGCAUUAAGAUGGCAAUCCCGUUCUGCGCUGGGGGGAAACAAGUUUACAACUCCAAAGCCGAGACGUCCACACUGGCUGGAGAUAUAACCAUCCCUAAAAGAGACUAUAAAGAAACGACAGGGAAGGACAAUGUUAGACUUAUCUCUGAGCCAAGUGCGUCAAAGAAGGAGAAAAAAAAAGACACAAGAGAAGAAAAUGACUGAAAGACUGCAAGGCAUUUGAAAGCUGUCAGACAUGUAUGCAGCAAGCAGGGAAGGUGCUAUCCAGUUUCUCAGGUGAAGGAAGGGACUGUGGAAACGUGCUUUAGGUGAACACAACUCUCCAUUGUAAACUUUCUCAUGGGCUUCACGGAAUCCCCGGUGGUCUAAUAUUAGAGGUUCUAUAACUGUCCUGGAAAAAUGUUUUAAUGCAACAACAUAAACAACAAGUAGAAACACUAAUAUUAAAGGUUGAUGUUAAUUAUAAUGACAACAAUGUGUCAUUGUAGUGUCUCAGCAUCACCACGACCAUCAUCAUCAUCAUCAUCAUCAUCAUCAUAAUAAUAAUAAUAAUAAUAAUAAUAAUAAUAAUAAUAAUAAUAAUAUCGAAGGAGAGCUCAAACCAGAUGUUCUUAUGUCUUAUGUCACUGUGGACACAUCAUCACUGGGGACAUCAGACUACACUGAAUAAACAAAGCCAAACUUGCCGGAAACACACAAAGCCUCCUUUUGUUUGCGUGUACAGGAAGGCACUUACAAUAGUGAGACACUUCAGAAUGAAUAGAAAGUUUCAUUCAUCGCUUACUCCCUUGUGCACGACAACGACGAGGAGCCCGAGAUCGGAAAUGGGACGAAGAAAUGAGGAAAGAAAGCUUUAGGAAAUUGCAGGAGAGCUUUAAUGAGCCACGAGGAAAUACGAGGCAGGACGAAAAUGUCAACACUGAGUAUAGGGCCGCGGGAAGACGACAACAAUUAGUCAGCAGGCUGACGUCACUGACGGAGAACGUACUGUUCUGUCCACCGGCAGGUAGGAGCUCAGCUAGACUACUCUAACCAGCAUGACUAACACGUACAUGACUUUCACCAGGAAUAUCUCUCACAAUCAAAAUCAGCCAGAACUCUCACCAGUGGCUAAGAGCUGCCGACCUGCGGCUACGUCAGAAAAAAAAGCGCAUCACAGCUCCUUAUGUGGGAUGCAAACAGAGGAAGGAGGAAGAGAGAGAGAGUUAGAGAGAGAGAGAGUGAGAGAGAGAGAGAGAGAGAGAGCACUGACAAAGAGAGUCAGAUUUCUCAGCUGUUGAUCAUAUUUUAUUGUUUAUAUGCCUUGGCAUUGAAAGGGAACAGGCUGAAUAUUUUACAGCAUGUUUAAACCCAAUUCUGCAAUAAAAAAAUACAAGAAAAUAAAUAAAUCCCUCUUCCACUAUUAUUCCUUUGCUUGCUUGUUUAUUUAUUUAUUUAUUUAUUUACUUUUGAUUAGACUUGUAGGUGCAAAAACACGUGAACAGUCCUUAUUCCUCGAUUAAAUGCAAAUAAAA